Molecule: long non-coding RNA, 514 nt
Organism: Canis lupus familiaris (dog)
Lineage: Eukaryota; Metazoa; Chordata; Mammalia; Carnivora; Canidae
Exons: 3
Source: RefSeq, a predicted model, not a curated record
GAAGAUAUUCUGAGAGUGUCAUUGAAAUUCUACACUCUUAUGUUCUGAAAGUUGCCAUAUUUCUACUCAGGAACUGCUUGUGGGUGAGUCGGCCUGGAUCAUUCAGCAUGUAGUCCUUAUCUUGAAUUCACAAAAUCAGACCACACCUUUGAAGGGCCACAUCCAAACCAAAAACUUCUCAUGAAAUAGAACGAUAGUGACUACACUUUUAAAAGGUCAAGAGAUUUGCCUUGGGUUUCUACAGCCAAAGAGUUUCAUCACUUUUUCUGUGGAGUGUUGAGCUGCCAGGACUUUGAAAUGAAAUAUAUCUACUGUGGCAAAGAUUUCUCUCAAGCAUUGCGGUUAUUCACAGACAACAGGCAAAAAGAAGGCCAUGUGAAGACAGAAGAAGAAAUUGGAGGCACCAGACACUGGAAGAAGCAUGGAAGUAUCCCCUCCUGGACCCUUCCCUUACAAACACCUAGAUUUUGAACUUCUGGAUUUCAGAAUUGUAAGAGAAUAAAUUAUUAUUAUU